This 497-nucleotide ribosomal RNA is filed under the name uncultured bacterium. Its description in RNAcentral is "partial 16S ribosomal RNA". It matches the Rfam family "Bacterial small subunit ribosomal RNA", at positions 28 to 507 of the family's 1533-position model. The record is from RNAcentral.
GAUGAACGCUGGCGGCGUGCCUAAUACAUGCAAGUCGAGCGAACGGACGAGAAGCUUGCUUCUCUGAUGUUAGCGGCGGACGGGUGAGUAACACGUGGAUAACCUACCUAUAAGACUGGGAUAACUUCGGGAAACCGGAGCUAAUACCGGAUAAUAUUUUGAACCGCAUGGUUCAAAAGUGUAAGACGGUCUUGCUGUCACUUAUAGGUGGAUCCGCGCUGCAUUAGCUAGUUGGUAAGGUAACGGCUUACCAAGGCAACGAUGCAUAGCCGACCUGAGAGGGUGAUCGGCCACACUGGAACUGAGACACGGUCCAGACUCCUACGGGAGGCAGCAGUAGGGAAUCUUCCGCAAUGGGCGAAAGCCUGACGGAGCAACGCCGCGUGAGUGAUGAAGGUCUUCGGAUCGUAAAACUCUGUUAUUAGGGAAGAACAUAUGUGUAAGUAACUGUGCACAUCUUGACGGUACCUAAUCAGAAAGCCACGGCUAACUACGUG